UGACAGUACUCCUACGGGGAGGCAGCAGUGGGGGAAUAUUGCACAAUGGGCGCAAGCCUGAUGCAGCCAUGCCGCGUGUGUGAAGAAGGCCUUCGGGUUGUAAAGCACUUUCAGUUGUGAGGAAAGGUUAGUAGUUAAUACCUGCUAGCUGUGACGUUAGCAACAGAAGAAGCACCGGCUAACUCCGUGCCAGCAGCCGCGGUAAUACGGAGGGUGCGAGCGUUAAUCGGAAUUACUGGGCGUAAAGCGUACGCAGGCGGUUUGUUAAGCGAGAUGUGAAAGCCCCGGGCUCAACCUGGGAACUGCAUUUCGAACUGGCAAACUAGAGUGUGAUAGAGGGUGGUAGAAUUUCAGGUGUAGCGGUGAAAUGCGUAGAGAUCUGAAGGAAUACCGAUGGCGAAGGCAGCCACCUGGGUCAACACUGACGCUCAUGUACGAAAGCGUGGGGAGCAAACGGGAUUAGAUACCCUGGUAG
This 475-nucleotide ribosomal RNA is filed under the name uncultured bacterium. RNAcentral describes it as "bacterial SSU rRNA". It matches the Rfam family "Bacterial small subunit ribosomal RNA", at positions 328 to 793 of the family's 1533-position model. The record is from RNAcentral.